UUAUCAGACUUGUUACAAGGUCGUUCUAACAAGUCUGAUACAGUCAUGAUAUUACAAGAAUGUUACAAGGUUGACGACACAAAGUUGCAACAGUAUUGUUAUAUCAUGGCUGUAUCGGACUUGUUGGAACAACUUUGUAACAAGUUUGAUAA
This is a non-coding RNA of Paramuricea clavata, 152 nucleotides long. The record is from the annotation of a GenBank genome assembly. Lineage: Eukaryota; Metazoa; Cnidaria; Anthozoa; Malacalcyonacea; Plexauridae.